RNAcentral lists this ribosomal RNA (345 nucleotides) under Haloarcula sp. EngPdB9. RNAcentral describes it as "bacterial SSU rRNA". It matches the Rfam family "Archaeal small subunit ribosomal RNA", at positions 385 to 730 of the family's 1478-position model. Lineage: Archaea; Methanobacteriati; Methanobacteriota; Halobacteria; Halobacteriales; Haloarculaceae. The record is from RNAcentral. RNAcentral also lists the same sequence under 1 other name.
UGCGAGGGCAUAUAGCCCUCGCUUUUCUGUACCGUAAGGUGGUACAGGAACAAGGACUGGGCAAGACCGGUGCCAGCCGCCGCGGUAAUACCGGCAGUCCAAGUGAUGGCCGAUAUUAUUGGGCCUAAAGCGUCCGUAGCCGGCCGGACAAGUCCGUUGGGAAAUCGACGCGCUCAACGCGUCGGCGUCCAGCGGAAACUGUCCGGCUUGGGGCCGGAAGACCUGAGGGGUACGUCCGGGGUAGGAGUGAAAUCCUGUAAUCCUGGACGGACCACCAAUGGGGAAACCACCUCAGGAAGACGGACCCGACGGUGAGGGACGAAAGCUAGGGUCUCGAACCGGAUU